Molecule: ribosomal RNA, 440 nt
Filed under: uncultured bacterium
Lineage: Bacteria
Description: partial 16S ribosomal RNA
Rfam family: Bacterial small subunit ribosomal RNA
Source: RNAcentral
CCUACGGGUGGCAGCAGUAGGGAAUAUUGCUCAAUGGUGGAAACCCUGAAGCAGCAACGCCGCGUGGAGGAUGAAGGUUUUCGGAUUGUAAACUCCUUUUGUUAGAGAAGAUAAUGACGGUAUCUAACGAAUAAGCACCGGCUAACUCCGUGCCAGCAGCCGCGGUAAUACGGGGGGUGCAAGCGUUACUCGGAAUCACUGGGCGUAAAGAGCGCGUAGGCGGGGUAGCAAGUCAGAUGUGAAAUCCUAGGGCUUAACCCAAGGACUGCAGUUGAAACUGUUAUUCUCGAGUUUGGGAGAGGUAGGUGGAAUGCGUGGUGUAGGGGUAAAAUGCGUAGAGAUCGAGAGGAACACUGAUUGCGAAGGCGACCUGCUAGAACCUAACUGACGCUGAGGCGCGAAAGCGUGGGGAGCAAACAGGAUUAGAUACCCUAGUAGUC